This 554-nucleotide ribosomal RNA is filed under the name Rhizophagus irregularis. RNAcentral describes it as "SSU rRNA". It matches the Rfam family "Eukaryotic small subunit ribosomal RNA", at positions 557 to 1112 of the family's 1831-position model. Lineage: Eukaryota; Fungi; Glomeromycota; Glomeromycetes; Glomerales; Glomeraceae. The record is from RNAcentral.
AAGUCUGGUGCCAGCAGCCGCGGUAAUUCCAGCUCCAAUAGCGUAUAUUAAAGUUGUUGCAGUUAAAAAGCUCGUAGUUGAAUUUCGGGGUUAGUAGGUUGGUCAUGCCUCCGGUAUGUACUGGUCUCACUGAUUCCUCCUUCCUUAUGAACCGUAAUGCCAUUAAUUUGGUGUUGCGGGGAAUUUGGACUGUUACUUUGAAAAAAUUAGAGUGUUUAAAGCAAGCUAACGCUUGAAUACAUUAGCAUGGAAUAAUGAAAUAGGACGUUCGAUCCUAUUUUGUUGGUUUCUAGGAUUGACGUAAUGAUUAAUAGGGAUAGUUGGGGGCAUUAGUAUUCAAUUGUCAGAGGUGAAAUUCUUGGAUUUAUUGAAGACUAACUACUGCGAAAGCAUUUGCCAAGGAUGUUUUCAUUAAUCAAGAACGAAAGUUAGGGGAUCGAAGACGAUCAGAUACCGUCGUAGUCUUAACCAUAAACUAUGCCGACUAGGGAUCGGAUGAUGUUAAUUUUUUAAUGACUCAUUCGGCGCCUUACGGGAAACCAAAGUGUUUGGGU